Molecule: non-coding RNA, 641 nt
Organism: Pelobates cultripes (western spadefoot toad)
Lineage: Eukaryota; Metazoa; Chordata; Amphibia; Anura; Pelobatidae
Source: the annotation of a GenBank genome assembly
GCUGGGUUGUGCAGUAUGAUGGCUCCAACAAAUAUUUAGCAUAUAUACUAAUGUGCCAUUAAUUCAUGUAAUAGUACUUUAAAGGAUCAGUAUAGGCCAUGUAGUUUUAGUCCUGCAAUGUAAAAUUUUGCCAACUUGUAGAUACAGCAAAGCUUUUAUUGCAAGGCUAAACACCCUGACAGCCACUAGAGGGUGCUCCUGUGACUUUCGACAUCCACAGUCAUUGCAUGAAGAUGUUGAGCAUUUUCUAAUGGUGCACCAUUGGAUUGAAUGUUUCUCUGUCAGGCGCAAUUGAAUGGAUAAACGCAAAGCUUACUGUGCAUGCACUUCUCAUCCCCAAUGCUUCCUUAUGAGAAGCAUGGGAUUUGAAGAAGAUGAAGAAGAGACUACCUGCAGUACAAUGUCACCAUAGACAGAGAAGGUGGCUGAGUGGAUGAGUCUCAGCACUGUAAAAAAGUUGAGUAAAACCAUUUUUUCCUUUUUUUUAUUUGGGGGAGUGUCUGACUCUAAAUAGGGAAUAUGCUUGUAUUCCCAAAUCUGUAUUGUUCCUUUAACAAUUAAGCAGUUUUGUCAUUGACUAUUUUGUUGAUUUAAGUAAGGUUGCAUAACAAAACAUAACAGGUUUUAGCACAUCUACAAAC